RNAcentral lists this transfer RNA (74 nucleotides) under Ktedonobacter sp. SOSP1-52. RNAcentral's name for it is "tRNA-Glu". The record is from RNAcentral. Lineage: Bacteria; Bacillati; Chloroflexota; Ktedonobacteria; Ktedonobacterales; Ktedonobacteraceae.
GAGCGCAUUCAUCCAGCGGUCGGGAUGCCUUCUCCUCCAGAAGGAAAGGGAGGUCCGAUUCCUCCAUACGCUUU